CAGAGGUCAGACUCAUUUUAUAAAUAAUGAAUCUAUCCAACCCGCUUCAUACUCGUAUCAUAUUUCACAAAUCAACUGAGUUACGAUUUGUGCGUUGCGGACGAUUCUUAUUACGGGCAACCAAUCAACGACGACUGCGAGGUCAAAUUUAUCAAAUUUAUUGUCGAAUUCGACGAGCAAACAGUGGCUCGUUCAAUCAGUAUACACAUUCCAUCACCGGCGAUAAUUAUUCAACUCCCACUAAUCUGGUGUUAAGGUGCGCCAAAAAUAUCAGCGCUUGAAAGCUGAUUACCAGACAUUCAAGCGACUCCAGGCACAAACUGGUCUGGGAUGGGAUCCUAUUAUAGGCACUGUUGUUGCACCCAAUGAAUUUUGGGAUAAGGUUUUCCAUUAAUCUGUACUAUUUUCUAAUUUUAUUUUAAACAUUUCAUGAUAUAUACAAUGCUUAAUUCUU
This is a non-coding RNA of Camellia sinensis, 454 nucleotides long. The record is from RefSeq and is a predicted model, not a curated record. Lineage: Eukaryota; Viridiplantae; Streptophyta; Magnoliopsida; Ericales; Theaceae.